CUAUGGAGAGUUUGAUCCUGGCUCAGAGUGAACGCUGGCGGCGUGCCUAAUACAUGCAAGUCGAACGAUGAAGCUUUUAGCUUGCUAGAAGUGGAUUAGUGGCGCACGG
Molecule: ribosomal RNA, 109 nt
Filed under: Campylobacter upsaliensis
Lineage: Bacteria; Pseudomonadati; Campylobacterota; Epsilonproteobacteria; Campylobacterales; Campylobacteraceae
Description: partial 16S ribosomal RNA
Rfam family: Bacterial small subunit ribosomal RNA
Source: RNAcentral